UAUUUCUGAAAUACUAUUUUUCUUUUUGUGUCUCAGGUCACUUUCUUGGCAACAACACUGUCAUUGAUGUGCUUCGUCGUCAGGGAUACGAGGUGGAGCACACUCCCGCGGAACAGCCAUUAAAAAGACCCACCUCGCCUGAAUCUGAGGACCACCAUGAAGAAUUCCCAGCUCUGGAGCCUUUCCUCCAUGAACUCCCCAUCGCGGACACGACCAUUUGGACGAGGAGCACCUGCCUCACCUGCUCUUCCCGCCAGAUAGCUUGGAGCUGCUGGAGAAAGCGGAGAGGAAGAUGUUGAAAAAGAAGAGGCGGAACAAACAGAAGAAGCAGCGGCACCGGCAUUUCAAUGACCUGUGGGUUCGCAUUGAGGACAGCAAUGUGGUCCAGUCUCCUCCUCCACCGAUGGUCAGAAUCAUUAACGGCUACAUCACAGUGCAACCUCCGGAUAAACCGCCGCAGAUCAACUACGAUCGCCACUACACAUCCUCCGCGACUUCAAAUGUAUAUUUCUUCUCCUCCUUACUCACUCUGCUCAUCUGCCAAACAACCAUCACAUGUCUCAUACAAAUUCUGGUACUGUAGAGCACUCAAAUGUGAAUGUUUGUAGAAAUGUGUUGAUGAAGGGCCAUGCAACUUCAGUUAAUCUGAGGACAAACUGUAAACUGACAAAUGGUAAAGUAUACCAUACCGUACCAUAAACUACUGGGCAGAGCACCAUCGAAUUCUAGGUCCUAACCUCAAAGUACGUUGCCUACACAUCGCUGUGAGAUGACCAACUGGGAACACCGCAGCCUUGUAUGACGUGUUAUUAUGUGGCGGAAAAUGGACAUUCGUGACUUGAAGCUAAAACACCAUGAGUUUGUGUAAAUGAUGUAAAUUGUAUGGCUUUUUGGAAAUGUAUGUAUGUGUGAACCAUGUGAGCUCUUAACCCACAAAAUGUUGAUGUUUCUACCUUUAAUUUAUUCUUCCAUUUUAGAAGAAUGUGUUGGUUGUUACGAAGGGGACUGUACAUAUUGUUUAAAUGUCAUAGAGGUUUUAGAUAUAUUAAAUACAUUGGCGUUUAUAAAUAUAUAAAUAGGAAUGCAGUAUUUUUUUUUUAAGAAGAGAAUCAGGAAUUUACCUGCGUGGCCUGAGAAGUUGGCUUUCCGUAGGGGCAGAACGGGACAGGCCAGGACGUUUUGCCAGUGCUUCGACAGCCAAAGGUGAACUGCUCCACGCCCAAAGUAGGGCGGGGGGUCCACACCGCUCCAAACCCAGAGCCCUUCAGCCCUUGGGUCUGGCGCUGUUUGUUUUUAGACUGGUUUGAUAAGGUGAGGGAGAAUGUACACUCAAGCGUACAUACACAAAUAUUUGUCAUAUUUAACCAAGUGCUUACUUGGUAUGGCGAUAAGUGUUGUGUUAGAGUAAUGAUAAGAAUGGCCUGUGUUACCAAGUUUCUCAAAGCGCCACACUGUAGUUGUUGUUCUUUCACACCAUACUCAAUGGUGUUCUCUGAGAAUGGCGACUUGAGCUAGUUAUGAUUAGCAAAACAAAGCUAGCUUAGCGAUAGCUUUAUCCUGUUUUGGCACUCCCUUCAAUGCAUGUUUUGUUUAGAAACAUUUACAAAGCAUCUAACACCACUAAAAUCCAUAACAUUGCAUCAUCAGUUGUUAAAAAGUAGUACAGAGGGC
Long non-coding RNA from Neogobius melanostomus (round goby), 1671 nucleotides. Lineage: Eukaryota; Metazoa; Chordata; Actinopteri; Gobiiformes; Gobiidae. The record is from Ensembl.